UGGGGAAUAUUGGACAAUGGGGGCAACCCUGAUCCAGCAAUGCCGCGUGUGUGAAGAAGGUCUUCGGAUUGUAAAGCACUUUCGACGGGGACGAUGAUGACGGUACCCGUAGAAGAAGCCCCGGCUAACUUCGUGCCAGCAGCCGCGGUAAUACGAAGGGGGCUAGCGUUGCUCGGAAUGACUGGGCGUAAAGGGCGUGUAGGCGGUUUACACAGUCAGAUGUGAAAUCCCCGGGCUUAACCUGGGAGCUGCAUUUGAUACGUGUAGACUAGAGUGUGAGAGAGGGUUGUGGAAUUCCCAGUGUAGAGGUGAAAUUCGUAGAUAUUGGGAAGAACAUCGGUGGCGAAGGCGGCAACCUGGCUCAUGACUGACGCUGAGGCGCGAAAGCGUGGGGAGCAAACAGGAUUAGAUACC
Molecule: ribosomal RNA, 414 nt
Filed under: uncultured bacterium
Lineage: Bacteria
Description: partial 16S ribosomal RNA
Rfam family: Bacterial small subunit ribosomal RNA
Source: RNAcentral